Molecule: RNase P RNA, 357 nt
Filed under: Lysobacterales bacterium
Lineage: Bacteria; Pseudomonadati; Pseudomonadota; Gammaproteobacteria; Lysobacterales
Description: RNase P RNA component class A
Rfam family: Bacterial RNase P class A
About the family: Ribonuclease P (RNase P) is a ubiquitous endoribonuclease, found in archaea, bacteria and eukarya as well as chloroplasts and mitochondria. Its best characterised activity is the generation of mature 5'-ends of tRNAs by cleaving the 5'-leader elements of precursor-tRNAs. Cellular RNase Ps are ribonucleoproteins.
Source: RNAcentral
GGAGUCGGCCAGGCAGUCGCGUCACGCUUCGGCGUGCCGAGGAAAGUCCGGGCUCCACAGGGCAAGGUGCCAGGUAACGCCUGGGCGGCGCGAGCCGACGGACAGUGCAACAGAGAACAGACAGCCGAACGGUGCCGCAAGGCAUGCGUGGUGAUGGUGAAACGGUGCGGUAAGAGCGCACCGCGUGCGGGGCCAACGCCGCACGGCACGGCAAACCCCACCUGGAGCAAGACCGAAUAGGGGAGUCAUGACGUUGCCCGCGUCGCUCCCGGGUUGGUUGCUCGAGUCCCGUCGCGAGGCGGGACCUAGAGGAAUGACUGUCCACGACAGAACCCGGCUUAUCGGCCGACUCCUUCU